GGGCUCGUAGCUUAGAUUGGUUGGAGCACCCGGCUGAUAACCGGGAGGUCGAGAGUUCGAAUCUCUCCGAGCCCA
This 75-nucleotide transfer RNA is filed under the name Thermoplasmatales archaeon. RNAcentral's name for it is "tRNA-Ile". It matches the Rfam family "tRNA". From Rfam's summary of the family: Transfer RNA (tRNA) molecules are approximately 80 nucleotides in length. Lineage: Archaea; Methanobacteriati; Thermoplasmatota; Thermoplasmata; Thermoplasmatales. The record is from RNAcentral.